RNAcentral lists this ribosomal RNA (253 nucleotides) under uncultured bacterium. RNAcentral describes it as "partial 16S ribosomal RNA". It matches the Rfam family "Bacterial small subunit ribosomal RNA", at positions 524 to 776 of the family's 1533-position model. The record is from RNAcentral.
UACGUAGGGUCCGAGCGUUGUCCGGAAUUACUGGGCGUAAAGAGCUCGUAGGUGGUUUGUCGCGUUGUUCGUGAAAACUCACAGCUCAACUGUGGGCGUGCGGGCGAUACGGGCAGACUUGAGUACUGCAGGGGAGACCGGAAUUCCUGGUGUAGCGGUGGAAUGCGCAGAUAUCAGGAGGAACACCAGUGGCGAAGGCGGCACUCUGGGCCGGUACUGACGCUGAGGAGCGAAAGCGUGGGGAGCGAACAGG